Molecule: ribosomal RNA, 530 nt
Filed under: Cobanus unicolor
Lineage: Eukaryota; Metazoa; Arthropoda; Arachnida; Araneae; Salticidae
Description: partial 16S ribosomal RNA
Rfam family: Bacterial large subunit ribosomal RNA (bases 143-439)
Source: RNAcentral
UAAAUAGCCGCAAUUUCGUGCUAAGGUAGCAUAAUCAUUUGUCUUUWAAAUGAAGACUGGAACAAAAGAUUUAACAUUUUAACUUAUUUAUUUUUAAAUAAAUAUUAAAUUUAUCCUAAAUGUAAAAAGACAUUUAUUUUUAAGAAAGACGACAAGACCCUAUUGAACUUAACUUAAGUUAAACUGGGGUAGUUAAAUAAUUAUAAUUUAUAUUUUUAAUAAAAUGUAAAUAAUCCAAUACAAUUGAGUAAUCAAGUUACCAUAGGGAUAACAGCGCAAUUAUAUUUUUAGAGCUCUUAUCUAAAAAAUAGAUUACGACCUCGAUGUUGAAUUAAUAACCUAUUUUAAGCAAAUUUUAAAAAAGGAAGUCUGUUCGACUUUUAAAAAAUUACAUGAUUUGAGUUCAGACCGGUAUAAGCCAGGUCGGUUUCCAUCUUCUUAAAUACAAUUUUACAGUACGAAAGGACCUAAAAUAUAAUUUAAUAUUUUAUUAGCAAAGUAAUGCAUUAGAAUUAGAAUCUAAUUAAACU